UACGUAGGUGGCAAGCGUUGUUCGGAUUCAUUGGGCGUAAAGGGUGCGUAGGCGGCGCGGUAAGUCGGGUGUGAAAUCUCGGAGCUUAACUCCGAAACUGCAUUCGAUACUGCGGUGCUUGAGGACUGGAGAGGAGACUGGAAUUCAUGGUGUAGCAGUGAAAUGCGUAGAGAUCAUGAGGAAGACCAGUGGCGAAGGCGGGUCUCUGGACAGUUCCUGACACUGAGACACGAAGGCCAGGGGAGCAAACGGG
RNAcentral lists this ribosomal RNA (253 nucleotides) under uncultured bacterium. RNAcentral's name for it is "partial 16S ribosomal RNA". It matches the Rfam family "Bacterial small subunit ribosomal RNA", at positions 524 to 776 of the family's 1533-position model. The record is from RNAcentral.